Arabis alpina (gray rockcress) is the source of this 87-nucleotide small nucleolar RNA. It matches the Rfam family "Small nucleolar RNA R160". Rfam says of the family: snoR160 is a C/D box small nucleolar RNA, which acts as a methylation guide for 25S ribosomal RNA in plants. snoR160 has been alternatively named snoZ270 in rice. Lineage: Eukaryota; Viridiplantae; Streptophyta; Magnoliopsida; Brassicales; Brassicaceae. The record is from Rfam.
AUCAUGAUGAUGAGAAAAAAUUUGCCUCUGAAAUCAAAUUCAUGUUGAUAUAUUUUAUAUACAACCUUCAAAGUUCUCUGAAUUGCU